GCCUGGUUAGCCCAGUGGUGAGCGUAUGACUUUUACGGGGAAAUCAAAUCUUGUGAAGAACAUCUCAAUGUCGCGAGUUCGACCCCGCAUCAGGCC
Tuber borchii (whitish truffle) is the source of this 96-nucleotide non-coding RNA. Lineage: Eukaryota; Fungi; Ascomycota; Pezizomycetes; Pezizales; Tuberaceae. The record is from the annotation of a GenBank genome assembly.